AACGUACGCCUGGCGGCACGCCUAACACAUGCAAGUCGAACGAAGUAGCAAUACUUAGUGGCAGACGGGUGAGUAACAUGUAGGUAUCUGCCCUUUGGCCUGGAAUAACACGAGGAAACUUGUGCUAAUACCGGAUAAGUCUUUACGGAGAAAGCUUUAUGCACCAUUGGAUGAGCCUGCACUUGAUUAGUUUGUUGGUGGGGUAAUGGCCUACCAAGACUGUGAUCAAUAGCUGAUUUGAGAGGAUGAUCAGCCACAUUGGGACUGAGACACGGCCCAAACUCCUACGGGAGGCAGCAGUGGGGAAUCUUGCACAAUGGAGGAAACUCUGAUGCAGCGAUGCCGCGUGAGUGAAGAAGGCCCUUGGGUUGUAAAGCUCUUUCGUCGGGGAAGAAAAUGACUGUACCCGAAUAAGAAGGUCCGGCUAACUUCGUGCCAGCAGCCGCGGUAAUACGAAGGGACCUAGCGUAGUUCGGAAUUACUGGGCUUAAAGAGUUCGUAGGUGGUUGAAAAAGUUAGUGGUGAAAUCCCAGAGCUUAACUCUGGAACUGCCAUUAAAACUUUUCAGCUAGAGUAUGAUAGAGGAAAGCAGAAUUUCUAGUGUAGAGGUGAAAUUCGUAGAUAUUAGAAAGAAUACCAAUUGCGAAGGCAGCUUUCUGGAUCAUUACUGACACUGAGGAACGAAAGCAUGGGUAGCGAAGAGGAUUAGAUACCCUCGUAGUCCAUGCCGUAAACGAUGUGUGUUAGACGUUGGAAAUUUAUUUUCAGUGUCGCAGGGAAACCGAUAAACACACCGCCUGGGGAGUACGACCGCAAGGUUAAAACUCAAAUGAAUUGACGGGGACCCGCACAAGUAGUGGAGCAUGUGGUUUAAUUCGAAGAUACGCGCAGAACCUUACCAACACUUGACAUGUUCGUCGCGACUCUAAGAGAUUAGAGUUUUCGGUUCGGCCGGACGAAACACAGGUGCUGCAUGGCUGUCGUCAGCUCGUGUCGUGAGAUGUUGGGUUAAGUCCCGCGACGAGCGCAACCCUCACUUUUAGUUGCCAUCAUUAAGUUGGGCACUCUGAAAGAACUGCCAGUGAUAAGCUGGAGGAAGGUGGGGAUGACGUCAAGUCCUCAUGGCCCUUACGUGUUGGGCUACACACGUGCUACAAUGGUAUCUACAACAGGAAGCAAGACUGCGAAGUUAAGCAAAUCCCUAAAAGAUACCUCAGUUCGGAUUGCACUCUGCAACUCGAGUGCAUGAAGCUGGAAUUACUAGUAAUCGUGGAUCAGCGUGCCACGGUGAAUGCGUUCCCGGGUCU
This 1307-nucleotide ribosomal RNA is filed under the name uncultured bacterium. RNAcentral's name for it is "bacterial SSU rRNA". It matches the Rfam family "Bacterial small subunit ribosomal RNA", at positions 28 to 1381 of the family's 1533-position model. The record is from RNAcentral.